CCCCGUGGUCCCCAAUGCAGCUCCCCAGAUGAGCUCGCAGUAUUUUCCUUAUAUGAUCAGGCCCCACUGCUGGCGGCGCCGCUUGCCUGGAGCCUGAGAGGAUUAUGAAAACGUGUCGGGCGAGGUGGGGCCAGGGGACCGGGGG
Molecule: non-coding RNA, 145 nt
Organism: Equus asinus (donkey)
Lineage: Eukaryota; Metazoa; Chordata; Mammalia; Perissodactyla; Equidae
Product: small Cajal body-specific RNA 17
Source: Ensembl